UUCCGGUUGAUCCUGCCGGAGGACAUUGCUAUUGGGAUUCGAUUUAGCCAUGCUAGUCGAGCGAGUUUAGACUCGCGGCGAAUAGCUCAGUAACACGUGGCCAAGCUCCCCUUCAGUCAGCGAUACCCUCGGGAAACUGAGGUUAACAGCUGAUACAAAACGCCAGCUGGAAUGCGGCGUUUCAGAAAGACAUCGCUGAAGGAUGCGGCUGCGGCCGAUUAGGUAGACGGUGGGGUAACGGCCCACCGUGCCAGUAAUCGGUACGGGUGAUGAGAGUCAGAGCCCGGAGACUGAAUCUGAGACAAGAUUCCGGGCCCUACGGGGCGCAGCAGGCGCGAAACCUUUACACUGCACGGAAGUGCGAUAGGGGAAUCCCAAGUGCGAGGGCAUAUUAGCCCUCGCUUUUCUCGACUGUAAGGUGGUCGACGAAUAAGAGCUGGGCAAGACCGGUGCCAGCCGCCGCGGUAAUACCGGCAGCUCAAGUGAUGUCCCAUAUUAUUGGGCCUAAAGCGUCCGUAGCUGGCCGACCAAGUCUACCGGGAAAUCCACCCGCCCAACGGGUGGGCGUCCGGUAGAAACUGGCCGGCUUGGAACCGGAAGGCUCAGAGAGUACGUCCGGGGUAGGAGUGAAAUCCCGUAAUCCCGGACGGACUACCGAUGGCGAAAGCACUCUGAGAAGACGGCUUCGACAGUGAGGGACGAAAGCUCGGGUCUCAAACCGGAUUAGAUACCCCGGUAGUC
RNAcentral lists this ribosomal RNA (741 nucleotides) under uncultured archaeon. RNAcentral's name for it is "bacterial SSU rRNA". It matches the Rfam family "Archaeal small subunit ribosomal RNA", at positions 1 to 746 of the family's 1478-position model. The record is from RNAcentral.